Molecule: transfer RNA, 76 nt
Filed under: Chloroflexi bacterium CG_4_10_14_0_8_um_filter_46_9
Lineage: Bacteria; Bacillati; Chloroflexota
Description: tRNA-Thr
Rfam family: tRNA
About the family: Transfer RNA (tRNA) molecules are approximately 80 nucleotides in length. Their secondary structure includes four short double-helical elements and three loops (D, anti-codon, and T loops). Further hydrogen bonds mediate the characteristic L-shaped molecular structure. tRNAs have two regions of fundamental functional importance: the anti-codon, which is responsible for specific mRNA codon recognition, and the 3' end, to which the tRNAs corresponding amino acid is attached (by aminoacyl-tRNA synthetases). tRNAs cope with the degeneracy of the genetic code in two manners: having more than one tRNA (with a specific anti-codon) for a particular amino acid; and 'wobble' base-pairing, i.e. permitting non-standard base-pairing at the 3rd anti-codon position.
Source: RNAcentral
GCCGGUAUAGCUCAGUUGGUAGAGCAGCUGCCUUGUAAGCAGAAGGUCCUGGGUUCGAAACCUAGUGUCGGCACCA